This 1021-nucleotide long non-coding RNA is filed under the name Salmo salar (Atlantic salmon). Its description in RNAcentral is "lncRNA (ENSSSAG00000097759.1, ENSSSAG00000118472.1)". Lineage: Eukaryota; Metazoa; Chordata; Actinopteri; Salmoniformes; Salmonidae. The record is from RNAcentral.
UUACAGCAUCUGUGCUGUUACGUGACACUUUCUAAGGCUUCCAUUGACUCUCUAAAGCGUUCAGAAAACGGAAUGACGCGUCUCCUGUCUCUGGGCAAAGUACAGGAGCAGAGUUUGUAAGUGGACUGCCUGGGGACAGUGAGACUGGAGAUGCGCGGUCACGAGACCUCACCAUUUUUUUAUUUUCCUCUUUGAAUGAAUACAACGUUGUCCGGUUGGAAUAUUAUCGCUAUUUUACGAGAAAAAUAGCAUAAAAAUGAAUUUUUAACAGCGUUUGACAUGCUUCUAAGUACGGUAAUGGAAUAUUUCGAAAAAAUUUGGUCACGAAAUGCGCUCGCACGUUACCCUUCGGAUAGUGACCUGAACGCACGAACAAAACGGAUGUAUUGGGAUAUAACUAUGGAUUAUUUGGAACCAAAACAAUAUUUGUUGUUGAAGUAGAAGUCCUGGGAGUGCAUUCUGACGAAGAACAGCAAAGCGCUCAGGCUGGUGACAUUCCGAAGCAGAGAGAGGAGUACGAAAGGAUGAAACAAGAUCUCCAACAUAAGGUCCAGGAGGUGGAGGAAGAGCUGGCUAUACAGAACCAGGCUUCGUAUGGAGCUGGAGACAACGCGUAGUGGCACGUACAUCACUCAGGUCUCUAAGGAGACAGUUGUCAAGGACACAGAGCUGCUGGCCCUUCAGGAGAGAGAGAGCAAACUACGGACCGAACUGGAUCGGGGCAGGGGGGAGAUGGAGAGGUACAAGCAGCAGCUAUGUGUGGGUGUGGUGUGAGAGAAGGUUCUGGAGCAGAGGAGAAUCUAGAGACGCAGUGAAGACAACGAGGCUGAACACUAACUGCACAGUGAGGGGUUAAUACCGGGACUGACACAGGCCAGAGACCAGGCUAGUGCGGAGCUGAGAGAGAAGGAGAUAGAACUACAGGACAUGGUUACGGCACAAUGUUACCAUGGAGAGAGACCAGGCCCUGGGUCGGCCACUCAGAGAACAGUUGAAAGACCAGCUAAAACACAGGGGAGGG